This 685-nucleotide ribosomal RNA is filed under the name Macrophomina phaseolina. RNAcentral describes it as "eukaryotic LSU rRNA". The stretch from base 316 to 473 matches the Rfam family "5.8S ribosomal RNA". The record is from RNAcentral. Lineage: Eukaryota; Fungi; Ascomycota; Dothideomycetes; Botryosphaeriales; Botryosphaeriaceae.
ACACUGAGCUCAGGGAGGGUCGGCAACGGACCACCCAGAGCCGGAAAGUCUGUCAAACUACGUCAUUUAGAGGAAGUAAAAGUCGUAACAAGGUUUCCGUAGGUGAACCCCUUGCGGAAGGAUCAUUACCGAGUUGAUUCGGGCUCCGUCCCGAUCCUCCCACCCUUUGUAUACCUACCUCUGUUGCUUUGGCGGGCCGCGGUCUUUCCGCGGCCGCCCCCCGAUUUUGGGGGGUGGCUAGUGCCCGCCAGAGGACUAUCAAACUCCAGUUAGUAAACGUUGCGUUCAGUCUGAAAAAAAUAUUAAAUAAACUAAAACUUUCAACAACGGAUCUCUUGGUUCUGGCAUCGAUGAAGGCUAACGCAGCGAAAUGCGAUAAGUAAUGUGAAUUGCAGAAUUCAGUGAAUCAUCGAAUCUUUGAACCGCACAUUGCGCCCCUUGGUAUUCCGGGGGGCAUGCCUGUUCGAGCGUCAUUUCAACCCUCAAGCUCUGCUUGGUAUUGGGCACCGUCCUUUGCGGGCGCGCCUCAAACGACCUCGGCGGUGGCGUCUUGCCUCUACUCAAGCGUAGUAGAAUACACCUCGCUUCGGGAGCGUAAGGCGUCGCCCGCCGGACGAACCUUCUGAACUUUUCUCAAGGUUGACCUCGGAUCAGGCUUCGAGGCGUAAGCUCUGCCCGAGGACGG